RNAcentral lists this ribosomal RNA (413 nucleotides) under uncultured bacterium. Its description in RNAcentral is "bacterial SSU rRNA". It matches the Rfam family "Bacterial small subunit ribosomal RNA", at positions 29 to 440 of the family's 1533-position model. The record is from RNAcentral.
AUUGAACGCUGGCGGCAUGCCUUACACAUGCAAGUCGAACGCGAAAGUGGGGGCAACCCUGCGAGUAGAGUGGCGAACGGGUGAGUAACACAUCGGAACGUACCCAGGAGUGGGGGACAACCUCGAGAAAUCGAGGCUAAUACCGCAUACGUCCUGAGGGAGAAAGCGGGGGAUCCGUAAGGACCUCGCGCUCAUGGAGCGGCCGAUGUCGGAUUAGCUAGUUGGCGGGGUAAAGGCCCACCAAGGCUACGAUCCGUAGCUGGUUUGAGAGAACGACCAGCCACACUGGGACUGAGACACGGCCCAGACUCCUACGGGAGGCAGCAGUGGGGAAUUUUGGACAAUGGGCGCAAGCCUGAUCCAGCCAUGCCGCGUGAGUGAAGAAGGCCUUCGGGUUGUAAAGCUCUUUCGGC